GAUGAACGCUAGCUACAGGCUUAACACAUGCAAGUCGAGGGACCGGCGCACGGGUGAGUAUCGCGUAUCCAACCUUCCCAUUACUGUGGGAUAACCUGCCGAAAGGCAGACUAAUACCGCAUGGUUAAAGUCGGUAAUGGAUGGGGAUGCGUCUGAUUAGCUUGUUGGCGGGGUAACGGCCCACCAAGGCGACGAUCAGUAGGGGUUCUGAGAGGAAGGUCCCCCACAUUGGAACUGAGACACGGUCCAAACUCCUACGGGAGGCAGCAGUGAGGAAUAUUGGUCAAUGGACGUAAGUCUGAACCAGCCAAGUAGCGUGCAGGAUGACGGCCUAUGGGUUGUAAACUGCUUUUACAGGGGAAUAUGCAUGUACCCUGCGAAUAAGGACCGGCUAAUUCCGUGCCAGCAGCCGCGGUAAUACGGAAGGUCCUGGUGUUAUCCGGAUUUAUUGGGUUUAAAGGGAGCGUAGGCCGUAGAUUAAGUGUGUUGUGAAAUGUAGUCGCCCAACGUCUGCCUUGCAGCGCAAACUGGUUUACUUGAGUACGCACAACGCAGGCGGAAUUCGUCGUGUAGCGGUGAAAUGCUUAGAUAUGAUGAAGAACUCCUAUUGCGAAGGCAGCUUGCGGGAGCGACUGACGCUGAGGCUCGAAAGUGCGGGUAUCGAACAGGAUUAGAUACCCUGGUAGUCCGCACGGUAAACGAUGGAUGCCCGUUUUUGGCUAGCCAGAGACCAAGCGAAAGCAUUAAGCAUCCCACCUGGGGAGUACGCCGGCAACGGUGAAACUCAAAGGAAUUGACGGGGGCCCGCACAAGCGGAGGACAUGUGGUUAAUUCGAUGAUACGCGAGGAACCUUACCCGGGCUUGAAUUGUGAAGGUGCUGCAUGGUUGUCGUCAGCUCGUGCCGUGAGGUGUCGGCUUAAGUGCCAUAACGAGCGCAACCCCUCUCUUCAGUUGCCAUCAGCUGGGCACUCUGGAGACACUGCCACCGUAAGGUGGAGGAAGGUGGGGAUGACGUCAAAUCAGCACGGCCCUUACGUCCGGGGCUACACACGUGUUACAAUGGCCGGCAGAGGGAUGGUGUAAUGCAAAUUGCAUCAAAUCUUGCCGGUCCCGGUUCGGAUGGGGUCUGCAACCCGACCCCAGAAGCUGGAUUCGCUAGUAAUCGCGCAUCAGCCAUGGCGCGGUGAAUACGUUCCCGGGCCUUGUACACACCGCCCGUCAAGCCAUGAAAGCCGGGGGUGCCUGAAGUUCGUAGCGACCUAGGGCAAAACUGGUGAUGGGGGC
This 1285-nucleotide ribosomal RNA is filed under the name Prevotella sp. RNAcentral's name for it is "bacterial SSU rRNA". It matches the Rfam family "Bacterial small subunit ribosomal RNA". RNAcentral also lists the same sequence under 2 other names. The record is from RNAcentral. Lineage: Bacteria; Pseudomonadati; Bacteroidota; Bacteroidia; Bacteroidales; Prevotellaceae.